RNAcentral lists this ribosomal RNA (1493 nucleotides) under beach sand metagenome. RNAcentral's name for it is "bacterial LSU rRNA". It matches the Rfam family "Bacterial large subunit ribosomal RNA", at positions 845 to 2444 of the family's 2925-position model. The record is from RNAcentral.
AUAGCUGGUUCUCCGCGAAAUCUAUUUAGGUAGAGCGUCAGACGAAUACCUUCGGGGGUAGAGCACUGAAUGGGCUAGGGGGCCUUACCGGCUUACCAAACCUAAUCAAACUCCGAAUACCGAAGAGUACUAUCUGGCAGACAGACUACGGGUGCUAAGGUCCGUGGUCGAGAGGGAAACAGCCCAGACCGCCAGUUAAGGUCCCAAAGUUGUGGCUAAGUGGGAAAGGAUGUAGGACGGCCAAGACAACCAGGACGUUGGCUUAGAAGCAGCCAUCGUUUAAAGAAAGCGUAACAGCUCACUGGUCUAAAUAAGCUGUCCCGCGCCGAAGAUGUACCGGGGCUCAAGCCACACACCGAAACUGCGGAUUUGUUCCUUAUGGAACAAGUGGUAGCGGAGCGUUCCGUAAGCCUGUGAAGGUGUGCCGUAAGGCAUGCUGGAGGUAUCGGAAGCGAGAAUGCUGACAUGAGUAGCGAUAAAGGGAGUGAGAACCUCCCUCGCCGAAAGCCCAAGGGUUCCUGCGCAAGGCCAAUCCGCGCAGGGUGAGUCGGCCCCUAAGACGAGGCAGAAAUGCGUAGUCGAUGGGAAACAGGUUAAUAUUCCUGUACCCGUGAGAAGUGACGGCCUCUGGAAGUAGUUUUUCCUUAUUGGAUUGGAGAAGCUGCCAAGGAGGUCCAGGAAAUAACUCUCACAUAUGGACCGUACCCCAAACCGACACAGGUGGGCAGGUUGAAUAUACCAAGGCGCUUGAGAGAAUGGUGUUGAAGGAACUCGGCAAAUUGCCCCCGUAACUUCGGGAGAAGGGGGCCCACCGUGAAGGCAACUUUACGGUGGGGGCACAGACUAGGGGGUGGCGACUGUUUACUAAAAACACAGGGCUCUGCGAAGUCGCAAGACGACGUAUAGGGUCUGACGCCUGCCCGGUGCCGGAAGGUUAAGAGGAGGUGUGCAAGCACCGAAUUGAAGCCCCGGUAAACGGCGGCCGUAACUAUAACGGUCCUAAGGUAGCGAAAUUCCUUGUCGGGUAAGUUCCGACCUGCACGAAUGGCGUAACGACUUCCCCGCUGUCUCCAGCAUCGACUCAGUGAAAUUGAAUUCCCCGUGAAGAUGCGGGGUUCCUGCGGUCAGACGGAAAGACCCCGUGCACCUUUACUAUAGCUUUGCAGUGGCAUUAGUGACGGCAUGUGUAGGAUAGGUGGUAGGCUUUGAAGCUCGGGCGCCAGCUCGGGUGGAGCCGUCCUUGAAAUACCACCCUUACCUUUACUGAUGUCUAACCGCGGUCCGUUAUCCGGAUCCGGGACCCUGCAUGGUGGGUAGUUUGACUGGGGCGGUCGCCUCCCAAAGAGUAACGGAGGCGCGCGAAGGUAGGCUCAAGCUGGACGGAAAUCAGCUGUUGAGUGCAAUGGCAUAAGCCUGCCUGACUGCGAGGCCGACAGGCCGAGCAGAGACGAAAGUCGGUCAUAGUGAUCCGGUGGUCCCGCGUGGAAGGGCCA